GGCUUCGGUUACGAUGUCGAUUUGGAGGUUGUGCCCUUGAGGCGUGGCUUCCGGAGCUAACGCGUUAAAUCGACCGCCUGGGGAGUACGGCCGCAAGGUUAAAACUCAAAUGAAUUGACGGGGGCCCGCACAAGCGGUGGAGCAUGUGGUUUAAUUCGAUGCAACGCGAAGAACCUUACCUACUCUUGACAUCCAGAGAACUUUCCAGAGAUGGAUUGGUGCCUUCGGGAACUCUGAGACAGGUGCUGCAUGGCUGUCGUCAGCUCGUGUUGUGAAAUGUUGGGUUAAGUCCCGCAACGAGCGCAACCCUUAUCCUUUGUUGCCAGCGAUUCGGUCGGGAACUCAAAGGAGACUGCCGGUGAUAAACCGGAGGAAGGUGGGGAUGACGUCAAGUCAUCAUGGCCCUUACGAGUAGGGCUACACACGUGCUACAAUGGCGUAUACAAAGAGAAGCGAACUCGCGAGAGCAAGCGGACCUCAUAAAGUACGUCGUAGUCCGGAUUGGAGUCUGCAACUCGACUCCAUGAAGUCGGAAUCGCUAGUAAUCGUAGAUCAGAAUGCUACGGUGAAUACGUUCCCGGGCCUUGUACACACCGCCCGUCACACCAUGGGAGUGGGUUGCAAAAGAAGUAGGUAGCUUAACCUUCGGGAGGGCGCUUACCACUUUGUGAUUCAUGACUGGGGUGAAGUCGUAAAAAGGUAAGCCCAA
This 709-nucleotide ribosomal RNA is filed under the name endophytic bacterium CS5b. RNAcentral's name for it is "bacterial SSU rRNA". It matches the Rfam family "Bacterial small subunit ribosomal RNA", at positions 796 to 1505 of the family's 1533-position model. The record is from RNAcentral.